CUCCCUCCUCUUCUCCUCGCAGAGCUGUAUGCCCAUUACCUGAGGGGACGGAAUCCAAGCAUGGGUCAACAAUAAGGCAACAGGCUGGGGAUCGCACAGCUUCCUGGCUGUUAGGUCAAGAGGUGUAAAUGAGACAAUGAGGAUGAAGUAUUGAGCACAGAAUCUGGGACGUGGUAAACCCUCCUUGUUAGUAUCAUCCAUUCAUUUAUUCAGUGGACACGUAUUAAGCACCUGAAUGUUCAGACACUGCAGAUUCAGCAGGGAACAAGAUGGAAAAAGUCUCUGCUCUUAAGAAGCUUAUG
RNAcentral lists this long non-coding RNA (302 nucleotides) under Equus asinus (donkey). Its description in RNAcentral is "lncRNA (ENSEASG00005027934.1)". Lineage: Eukaryota; Metazoa; Chordata; Mammalia; Perissodactyla; Equidae. The record is from RNAcentral.